GAUGAACGCUGGCGGCGUGCCUAAUACAUGCAAGUCGAGCGAACAGACGAGGAGCUUGCUCCUCUGACGUUAGCGGCGGACGGGUGAGUAACACGUGGAUAACCUACCUAUAAGACUGGGAUAACUUCGGGAAACCGGAGCUAAUACCGGAUAAUAUAUUGAACCGCAUGGUUCAAUGGUGAAAGACGGUUUUGCUGUCACUUAUAGAUGGAUCCGCGCCGCAUUAGCUAGUUGGUAAGGUAACGGCUUACCAAGGCAACGAUGCGUAGCCGACCUGAGAGCCGCCACUCCUGGAGCAGACGCCCAGCCCACACACCCGGGGGAGGCAGACGUAGAGGAUCGCGCGCCUUGGCCAGGGCGGCGACCGUGAACGUCUGCGUGGGGUAUGAGGGUCUUCGGUUUGUCAAACUCUUUUAUAAGGAAACACAAAUUACUAAACCCCCUAUGUCCUUCUCAACCAUCACUAAUCACAAACCACCCGCUAACUACGUCCACGCAGCCGCGGUAAUCGUCGGCAGAGCACCCGUCCGACC
RNAcentral lists this ribosomal RNA (533 nucleotides) under uncultured bacterium. RNAcentral's name for it is "partial 16S ribosomal RNA". It matches the Rfam family "Bacterial small subunit ribosomal RNA", at positions 35 to 539 of the family's 1533-position model. The record is from RNAcentral.